This is a long non-coding RNA of Oncorhynchus keta (chum salmon), 2035 nucleotides long. RefSeq lists it as uncharacterized. Lineage: Eukaryota; Metazoa; Chordata; Actinopteri; Salmoniformes; Salmonidae. The record is from RefSeq and is a predicted model, not a curated record. The transcript has 5 exons.
UUGUUCACAACAACACACUGAUACAUCCAUGUACAGUAUUCUGUCUUUUCCAGAUGCUAUUUAAAACACACAAAAUAAACUCGUUUUAAUUUCCCUCGGCCGUUAAACUAGUGACAAACGUCGUAGUUGCGUCGCGUCGUUAGGGCACAACGUGGUAGCCAACAAUUGUCACCGCGGCAACGUUAAGUUUAACGGGAGUCGUCACCUUGGCAACAGUAAACACAUUUAAAUGCAACACACGUAUGCACGUUGACUCACGUGUGUGUGACAGGUGAUAGCCAUGUUAUAGACAUGUAAUAACAGAUUCUACAUCUUAUGUGUAUUAGUGCCUGACUGAGUAGACGGCAGGUAGUCUAGUGGUUAAGAGCGUUGUCUUAGUCUUUAAUGACUGAGUAGAUGGCAGGUAGUCUAGUGGUUAAGAGCGCUGUCUUAGUCGUUAAUGACUGAGUAGACGGCAGGUAGUCUAGUGGUUAAGAGCGUUGUCUUAGUGGUUAAUGACUGAGUGGACGGCAGGUAGUCUAGUGGUUAAGAGCGUUGUCUUAGUGGUCAAUGACCGAGUAGACGGCAGGUAGUCUAGUGGUUAAGAGCGCUGUCUUGGUCGUUAAUGACCGAGUAGACGGCAGGUAGUCUAGUGGUUAAGAGCGUUGUCUUGGUCGUUAAUGACCGAGUAGACGGCAGGUAGUCUAGUGGUUAAGAGCGUUGUCUUAGUGGUUAAUGACUGAGUAGACGGCAGGUAGUCUAGUGGUUAAGAGCGCUGUCUUAGUCGUUAAUGACCGAGUAGACGGCAGGUAGUCUAGUGGUUAAGAGCGUUGUCUUAGUGGUUAAUGACCGAGUAGACGGCAGGUAGUCUAGUGGUUAAGAGCGUUGUCUUAGUGGUUAAUGACCGAGUAGACGGCAGGUAGUCUAGUGGUUAAGAGCGUUGUCUUAGUCGUUAAUGACCGAGUAGACGGCAGGUAGUCUAGUGGUUAAGAGUGUUGUCUUAGUCGUUAAUGACCGAGUAGACGGCAGGUAGUCUAGUGGUUAAGAGCGUUGUCUUAGUCGUUAAUGACUGAGUAGACGGCAGGUAGUCUAGUGGUUAAGAGCGUUGUCUUAGUGGUUAAUGACUGAGUAGACGGCAGGUAGUCUAGUGGUUAAGAGCGUUGUCUUAGUGGUCAAUGACCGAGUAGACGGCAGGUAGUCUAGUGGUUAAGAGCGCUGUCUUGGUCGUUAAUGACCGAGUAGACGGCAGGUAGUCUAGUGGUUAAGAGCGUUGUCUUGGUCGUUAAUGACCGAGUAGACUGCAGGUAGUCUAGUGGUUAAGAGCGUUGUCUUAGUGGUUAAUGACUGAGUAGACGGCAGGUAGUCUAGUGGUUAAGAGCGCUGUCUUGGUCGUUAAUGACCGAGUAGACGGCAGGUAGUCUAGUGGUUAAGAGCGUUGUCUUAGUGGUUAAUGACCGAGUAGACGGCAGGUAGUCUAGUGGUUAAGAGCGUUGUCUUAGUCGUUAAUGACCGAGUAGACGGCAGGUAGUCUAGUGGUUAAGAGUGUUGUCUUAGUGGUUAAUGACCGAGUAGACGGCAGGUAGUCUAGUGGUUAAGAGCGUUGUCUUAGUGGUUAAUGACUGAGUAGACGGCAGGUAGUCUAGUGGUUAAGAGCGUUGUCUUAGUGGUUAAUGACCGAGUAGACGGCAGGUAGUCUAGUGGUUAAGAGCGCUGUCUUAGUCGUUAAUGACCGAGUAGACGGCAGGUAGUCUAGUGGUUAAGAGCGUUGUCUUAGUGGUUAAUGACUGAGUAGACGGCAGGUAGUCUAGUGGUUAAGAGUGUUGUCUUAGUCGUUAAUGACCGAGUAGACGGCAGGUAGUCUAGUGGUUAAGAGCGUUGUCUUAGUGGUUAAUGACUGAGUAGACGGCAGGUAGUCUAGUGGUUAAGAGCGCUGUCUUAGUCGUUAAUGACCGAGUAGACGGCAGGUAGUCUAGUGGUUAAGAGCGUUGUCUUAGUGGUUAAUGACCGAGUAGACGGCAGGUAGUCUAGUGGUUAAGAGCGCUGUCUUGGUCGUUAA